UAUCAGUUAUGAGCAAAGUUGUUACUGAUUUCUUGUAUCUCCCAGGAUUCCUGUUGCUUUACCCACAACAGACAAGUGGUUGAAAAGUUCUGAGGCAUUUCCUGGAAUAGAAUGGGUAGUGAAGACCCUUGUCAGCAAUCAAAGGACUCCGGAAACCAGGAGAGCUGUCUACUGUGUCAAGGCUGGCCUGAGGGCAUUUGCUGAGCACAGAGAAACCCAGGAGAGGAGAUCAACAGUCUUUUCCCACCUACCUCUUGAUCUGUCUGAUUUACCCACAGAAAGUCAGCUAGAGUCCUCUAAGAGUCUCUAGGCCCAGAAUGGAGUCCUUAGGGCAACAGGGGAUUGUGAUGCUAACAAUUAAACCUGCUCAGGACCUGAAAGAUUGAAGGGGACUGACAGUAUCCUCAACAUGGCCUCCUAGAUGUGAAUAAACUGCCAACUCCAAUUGUGUCAUUCCCAGUUUGCCUGCUUCCCUUUAGUCUCCAGCAGAACUGGCUGGAGCCCGCUACCACCGCCUCCUGUUUCCCAUCCUGCCACAUGUGUUUUGUGGGUGCCAGCCUUGGACACUUGCAGAGGUCUCCCAGAGAGUAGCUGGUCACCGCCUCUGUAACAGGCUGAGAAAAGCCAUGUAAGAAGGUUCAUGUACUUUAAAAGGCAGGUUCCUUAGCCUCAGAGCCUGUUGUUUUUGUUGGUUAGUUAAGUCCAAAAAUCUCUUGAAGGAUAGGGUAGGGCUUUUCCCACUUAACAUCUGGACUAUAUCCCUUCCCCAGCAAACACUUGGCACUGAGGAGUUC
RNAcentral lists this long non-coding RNA (794 nucleotides) under Capra hircus (goat). RNAcentral's name for it is "lncRNA (ENSCHIG00010009732.1)". The record is from RNAcentral. Lineage: Eukaryota; Metazoa; Chordata; Mammalia; Artiodactyla; Bovidae.